Molecule: ribosomal RNA, 376 nt
Filed under: uncultured organism
Description: partial 16S ribosomal RNA
Rfam family: Bacterial small subunit ribosomal RNA
Source: RNAcentral
GUAGGUGGCAAGCGUUGUCCGGAAUUAUUGGGCGUAAAGCGCGCGCGGGCGGUCCUUUAAGUCUGAUGUGAAAGCCCACGGCUCAACCGUGGAGGGUCAUUGGAAACUGGGGGACUUGAGUACAGAAGAGGAAAGCGGAAUUCCAAGUGUAGCGGUGAAAUGCGUAGAGAUUUGGAGGAACACCAGUGGCGAAGGCGGCUUUCUGGUCUGUAACUGACGCUGAGGCGCGAAAGCGUGGGGAGCAAACAGGAUUAGAUACCCUGGUAGUCCACGCCGUAAACGAUGAGUGCUAAGUGUUAGGGGGUUUUCCCGCCCCCCUUAGUGCUGCAGCUAACGCAUUAAGCACUCCGCCUGGGGGAGUACGGCCGCAAGGCUG